RNAcentral lists this ribosomal RNA (433 nucleotides) under uncultured bacterium. RNAcentral describes it as "partial 16S ribosomal RNA". It matches the Rfam family "Bacterial small subunit ribosomal RNA", at positions 32 to 507 of the family's 1533-position model. The record is from RNAcentral.
AGCCAACGCUGGCGGCAGGCCUAACACAUGCAAGUCGAACGGAUCCUUCGGGAUUAGUGGCGGACGGGUGAGUAACACGUGGGAACGUGCCCUUUGGUUCGGAACAACUCAGGGAAACUUGAGCUAAUACCGGAUGUGCCCUUCGGGGGAAAGAUUUAUCGCCAUUGGAGCGGCCCGCGUCUGAUUAGCUAGUUGGUGAGGUAACGGCCCACCAAGGCGACGAUCAGUAGCUGGUCUGAGAGGAUGAUCAGCCACACUGGGACUGAGACACGGCCCAGACUCCUACGGGAGGCAGCAGUGGGGAAUCUUGCGCAAUGGGCGGAAGCCUGACGCAGCCAUGCCGCGUGAAUGAUGAAGGUCUUAGGAUUGUAAAAUUCUUUCAGCGGGGACGAUAAUGACGGUACCCGCAGAAGAAGUUCCGGCUAACUUCGUG